GAUGAAGAACGUAGCGAAAUGCGAUAAGUAGUGUGAAUUGCAGAAUUCAGUGAAUCAUCGAAUCUUUGAACGCACAUUGCGCCCUUUGGUAUUCCUUUGGGCACGCCUGUUCGAGCGUCAUUUACCCCUCAAGCACUGCUUGGUGUUGGGCGUCUGUCCCGCUUCGCGCGCGGACUCGCCCCAAAGGUAUUGGCAGCGGUCGUGCCAGCUUCUCGCGCAGCACAUUGCGCUUCUCGAGGCGGUCGAUCGGCGUCCACGAAGCUCACCUCCACCGUUUGACCUCGGAUCAGGUAGGGAUACCCGCUGAACUUAAGCAUAUCAAUAAGCGGAGGA
Molecule: unclassified non-coding RNA, 333 nt
Filed under: soil metagenome
Description: partial contains 5.8S ribosomal RNA, internal transcribed spacer 2, and large subunit ribosomal RNA
Rfam family: 5.8S ribosomal RNA (bases 1-120)
Source: RNAcentral